CUAUAACAUUAUUGGUUUAAUGCUACCUCAACGUUUUUAUUGCGUCCUUAGGUAAAUAGGAAUGACGUUAAAAACCCUCCGGAUGACCACCGUGGUAAUGAGGGCAAUGCCUUGCUGCGGAGCUGCCACCAGGUGAUGCGCGGCGAGUUCUUCUCCCCAGACUACCUGUGCUCCAACCCACCGCUCUGGUGUAACUGGACCAUCCAGGUAGACCCUGGUAAACGUGUGCACCUCCAUCUAGAGGACUUCACCCAGUCAGACGCAUGCAGCGGAAAGCUGGACCAGAUCCACCUGGACGAGCCCCUGGGGGUCACAGGAUCCUGGAGAAGUGUUGGCGUGAGGCCAAGUACAGGUCCCUCUCCAACAUCCUCCAUGUGGUUCAGCUGAUCAGAGGCAAACCCAGUCCGCCCCACAGUGGCUUCUAUGGGUGUUACGAGGCGUUCGUACCGCCAGUCACGUACAAUGCUUAUGGUGAUACCACCAAAGAAGACAGGAAGUUGAUGACUGAACCAAAAGCGACAGAACUGGAACCCUUUCCCUCUCUGAGAAGUUUCACCAAGUUUCUCCCCAUGAAGGGGGGUGACCCUACAGAGGCCAUUUUACUGGAGCGCCCCCACCCCGCCAGCUCAGACCAACUGAUGGUGUUUGACUAUUUCGACCAACUCACUUCCUCCUCUGCAUCCAAUGAGCUUCCAUCAUGGGAAGCAGAGGAGCCAAUGGUCCUUCAAGUUUUAUCCUUUUCAGAGAGAGGAAGAAGAUUGGAAGAGAGGAAUCUCCGAGGGGACUGAAUUAGAUGAGUCGCUUGACAAAGGAAGACUGGGAGGUGGGUAACUUGAGUGGCGAUGUGGUGGACAAUGAAUCCCAUCUGCCUUUGACUCCCACUCCCCCCUUGGUCUUCACUCAUCAGGGUACAUCAUGGUCAGGGAGGGGUGCCACACAGACCCACACAGCACACCCUGGAAGUGACCCCUCACACCAGCCCCCUGUCUUGAAUCCCAAACCCUCGCCACGCACUUCAUCUGCUAUGCGAAGGAACGUGGAUGCCCAAACUACAAAUGCCAUCCCUCCUACCGAGUCUAACAUUGUGUCACACACAACAGAUGUGGAUGACCACAGUGAGGAGUCUGGCAAUAAAGAAUUUCUAAAAAUGGCCAUGGGUGAGUCUACAGCAUCCAGUGCCACUCAUACACCCACUGAGACCAAGGAUCCCUUUGACCAUCUCCCAGACAUGGUUGAACCGUUCUUCGACAGCAGACAAUAUAGUAGGUAGUCAGCAAUUUCAUUUGCAUCCUUUGUCUGUUUUAUGAAAACUGUCUUGCAAUGUUGACUUUGCAGAGAAAGUCAGAAAUCAUACCGAAGUACCACACUUACCAGAAGGUGAGUUAUUUUUUUAAUUU
This is a long non-coding RNA of Oncorhynchus kisutch (coho salmon), 1397 nucleotides long. RefSeq lists it as uncharacterized. The record is from RefSeq and is a predicted model, not a curated record. NCBI's taxonomy places the organism in Eukaryota, Metazoa, Chordata, Actinopteri, Salmoniformes, Salmonidae. The transcript has 2 exons.